GACGAACGCUGGCGGCGUGCCUAAUACAUGCAAGUUGAGCGCUGAAGGUUGGUACUUGUACCAACUGGAUGAGCAGCGAACGGGUGAGUAACGCGUGGGGAAUCUGCCUUUGAGCGGGGGACAACAUUUGGAAACGAAUGCUAAUACCGCAUAAAAACUUUAAACACAAGUUUUAAGUUUGAAAGAUGCAACUGCAUCACUCAAAGAUGAUCCCGCGUUGUAUUAGCUAGUUGGUGAGGUAAAGGCUCACCAAGGCGAUGAUACAUAGCCGACCUGAGAGGGUGAUCGGCCACAUUGGGACUGAGACACGGCCCAAACUCCUACGGGAGGCAGCAGUAGGGAAUCUUCGGCAAUGGACGAAAGUCUGACCGAGCAACGCCGCGUGAGUGAAGAAGGUUUUCGGAUCGUAAAACUCUGUUGGUAGAGAAGAACGUUGGUGAGAGUGGAAAGCUCAUCAAGUGACGGUAACUACCCAGAAAGGGACGGCUAACUACGUG
RNAcentral lists this ribosomal RNA (497 nucleotides) under uncultured bacterium. RNAcentral's name for it is "partial 16S ribosomal RNA". It matches the Rfam family "Bacterial small subunit ribosomal RNA", at positions 28 to 507 of the family's 1533-position model. The record is from RNAcentral.